GUGAGUUCCAGGACAGCCAGGGCUACACAGAGAAAGAAACCCUGUCUCGGAAAAAAAAAUUUUUUUAAUAGGCUAGGUUCUUCUUUCAUAGGCAUUUUUUAGGUUUCAUUGCUUUCACAUUUUUAGCAAGUUCAGAAAGAGUAUUUGUCUACAAAAGCAAAAAUAAUUGCUACUGCACUGCAGAGAAAGAAGUGAAAAAGAUGACCUUUAAAAAGAUAGCAGAAUACGGCAAAAUGUGUGCGAUCAUCUUAAUAAUAACUCUUUUGAUCUUACAUUUAUAUAUAAAUGAAUUAUUUAAAUAGCAGAGCAGUGCCUAGGAUAAAUAAAAUAUCCAUGAAAACACAUAUUACCACCAAACAAAUGACUUCAAGCAAAAUCAAAUUGAAGGAGAAAAUUGUGUUUCCUCCAACAAAACGCUGGUUUUGCCCUAAGGCAUUUGUGUUGAGGAAAAAGACCAUGUAUAACAUAGACACAAAUCAUACACAUCUUCCCCCAAACAGCAGGUUUUAUUGGAUUGCACACAUGUGCGAGCUACUUGAGGCCUCCAGGAAAGAAGCUCAGCAAUAAAAUACAUCACGACUAUUGCCACCGAGCUAGGCAGGAUGGGAGCAGACACAUCAGAGAGCCUCGUGAUGAAGUAGAGCAUUAAGAAGCAAAUCAAAGUCUCUGAUCAAAGCCUAAUUUAGCCUGUCAUAAGUGAUCCUGCCGUGGAAAGAAGCCUCACACACAAAGAUCAAAGAUUAGGAUCCGCACAUAUAACACAGCACCCCUGCCCUAUGGGGAGGGGGGAAAGGUAGACAGAAGAAGGAAAAAGAAGUCAUACAUCAAAGCUCUCUAGGACCACAGUGUGAUAUAAUCUCCUCCUUUUAAGGAUAGCACACAGAAUUAGAAAAGUGGAAAUGAUUUUUACAAUGUGCUUGAGUCCCCCAAUUUGAAACUGUGAGAAGCUGGUGCGGUUGGCUCAGCUAUCUUGUUUGCAAACACAUAUUAGGCAGUGCUUGUCACCGUGGUAAUGUUUCUGUAUUUGUAGUCCUCGCUUGCAUAUAUUAAGAAUCUUCUCACAACUGCAAACAACAGGUACAUAAUUUUCUACUUGAGAGACUAUUAAUUGACUUUCUAUUGAGUCAGUAACUCUAGCCCAUGCUAAUAUGAUAAUUGUUCUUUUUUUUUUUUAAAGCAAGCUAUUUCAAACUUUGUACAAUUCUUUUGUUCUUUUCUGUAUUAACUGAGUACAGCCCACUCUUGAUCUGUGUCUAUAUACUUCAUGGGAGUAGAGACAUGUUUCCCUGUACUCUGAUUAUGUGUGCCUGUGUUUGGAAACCAAAGUAACAGUCUGAGGAUUACUUGGGGAAAGGGCAUGUCCACUUCAUUUGAUACUAAUAGUUUAACUUUCAAAUGCACAGAGAAUGCUAUAGAAAUAUAUGAAAAUCCAAAAACCAGUUAGACACCAGCUGUAUACACCAUUAAAAGAAAACAUUAUAUAUUGAGCAGAAGCAAUAGAACCAAAGACUGUGGCCUUGCAUGUAGAGGACUCUGUGGGAAGGUAGACAUGUGUAAGGUCCUAGGGGAAGGAUAAUUUUAAAGGUUUGUCUGUGCAGACUCACCUGUAUGCCUGCCUUCUGCCUGUGGGAAUAACAAUUUUCCUGGUGCUGGAGAAAGGAUGGCAGCCCACCUGCAGGACAUUAUAGAGAGCUUUGAGCCAGAUGCAAGGAGGCCAAAGAGCUCUUCCUGGGUUUACUAUUUUACAACUUCUAUCUACUUAAAAAAAUAAUUCUUUUUAAUAGAUACAUUGCUUUCUUUCUUCCUUUAUUUAUUUAUUUAUUUAUUUAUUUAUUUAUUUAUUUAUUUAUUUUUGCUGUGUGUCCAUGUCUCUCUGUGGGGGCAUAUGCACCUGAGUGUUUGUAUCCAGGAGGAAUCACCUGGAGCUGGAGUGACAGGAACUUAUGAGCUGUCUGACAAAGGGGCUGUGAGAAGGAACCCAGGUCCCAUGUAAGUGCAGAAAGCCAAUUUAACUCCUUAGCCACAUCUGCAAUUCCUCAAAAUAAAUGUAUUUUGGGGUGACAUAUUCUGGCCUUUUCCAAUUCCUAUACAUUGUGCCUUAAAUAUGCCAUGCCAAUUUGAACCGGUACUAUAAAAGUAGUGAGAAUUUUAUCAGAUUUCUUUCUUUUCAUCUGAAAAUAGAACACUUGAUUGCUUUUAUGAAUUAAACAUAUUAAGUAUAUUUACUUAUUCAUUCAAUAAUUCAAUAAUUAUCUUUACUAUUCAGUGCUUCUCAGCCAAGGAUACAGUUCUCAGGAAAAUUAGACACAGUUCUUACUUUUAGAAAGAUUUGAUCUAUUUGGGCAGGUAUACAUUACUUGUCACGCAGACAAGUAUAAAGUUGAUGCUCACUGAGUUCUGAAAGUGGGAGUUAUAUGGGAAUUUGACCCACUGUGCUCAGAAAAUGACUUCUCUGAGGCAUUGACACCUGACUGG
Molecule: long non-coding RNA, 2475 nt
Filed under: Mus musculus (house mouse)
Lineage: Eukaryota; Metazoa; Chordata; Mammalia; Rodentia; Muridae
Description: long non-coding RNA chr6:103564355-103566830
Source: RNAcentral